RNAcentral lists this long non-coding RNA (17832 nucleotides) under Medicago truncatula (barrel medic). Its description in RNAcentral is "long non-coding RNA (MTRU_LNC003591)". Lineage: Eukaryota; Viridiplantae; Streptophyta; Magnoliopsida; Fabales; Fabaceae. The record is from RNAcentral.
GUCAAUUUUCUUAGAUAUCUCAUCCAUAAAUUUAAAACGAGAGAAAGUAAUAACAACGUAAUACACAUGAUAACACAUUCAUUUUUUGGAAACGCUCAUCAUCGUCACAAAAUACAUAGAUUGUUGCAAAUUUAUACAUGAUUUCCACUAAUGAAAUAUCUAUAUUACAUAUAGUGACAAGAUAGAUAAUACACAACAACUUGAAAUUGUUGUGCCUUUUUUUGAUCAACACACAACAUUAUUUAUUCAUGGAAUUUAGUACUAGAAAGAGUGCAUCAUGCAUGAUCAUAGCAUUAUGAUCAGUUUUGAGUAUUGUCCUUAGCUUGCAUGGCAACAAAUUCAGCAUGCGAGCAGCACCUGCCAUGGCAAUGGUAUUGGCAACCACCUCCACCGUGGUUGUAACCGCCUCCACCAUGGUUGUAGCCACCACCAUUGUAACCGCCUCCACCAUGGUUGUAGCCACCACCGUUGUAACCACCUCCACCAUGGUUGUAUCCACCACCAUUGUUGUAUCCACCACCACCGUGGUUGUAACCUCCACCAUUGUUGUAUCCACCCCCACCGUGGUUGUAACCUCCUCCAUUGUAACCACCACCGUGGUUGUAACCUCCACCAUUGUAACCACCACCAUAUUUGGCAUCAUUUACUUCAUUAGUCUUUUCAACAACUUCUGCAAACACAGCACACAUAUAUAUAUAAUAUAUCAUAUAUGAAAAGAAUUUAAAAAAAUAUAGAAAAUGCUCGUGAGAAUAUAUAUAUAUAAAGAAAAAUAAUAUAUAGCUGACCCUUUUUGGCAUCAGAGGUAGUUUCAGUUAAGUCCCUGGCUGAGACUUCUGAAGAAAUAAGAAGAACCAUAGCCAAGAGGCCUAGGAUGAGGAUUGCCUUUUUCGAAUCCAUUGUUCAAUAUCUGUUCAAAUGUAAUAUUUGGUAGUGAACGAUGAGAAAACUAGUAAGAAGUAUGCUCUAUAUAUAAUGGAGGGAAGGAGAGGGAGAUGUAAGGACCUUUACUUGGUAGUUGGGAAGGUAGCUAGUGAGUAUAAAUUCAAUCUUAUCUAUAAAUUUUGAAAUAUUGUUUGGUAAUUUUGAUACUAUUCAUAAUCUAUACUAUGUACAACAAAAAUGCAUGGUUUUAGGAUGAUUUUUUCACUUUCAAUUAUACUCUUACAAAAUUGCCUAUAAAAAUGUUAUAUUAUUGACGUCAUUUAAAAAUAUAUGAAUUUAUACUAUAUUUGUUAUAGGGUAAAAUAUGCUUUUCAUCCCUGCAAUUAUAGGCCGUUUGAUUUUUCAUCCCUGAGCUUACUAAUCCUCCCAUUUUGCCCUUGUAAUUACUAAUCAUUUGAAAGUUCGUCCCUCUUCCCAGAUAAUCACUGCCACAUCAUCAAAUUAGCAAAAUGGCAUGGGAAUUGACAAAAAUACCCCUGAUCUAUUUUUAAAAUUCUGAAAAUUGUUUUUAUAAAUUAAAAAAUCUGAAAAUAAUUUUAAAAAAUAAAAAAAUUAUAAAAAUAUUUUGAAAAUAACUUUUUCGAAAAAAAAUGAAAUAAUUUUUCACAUAAUUUUAAAAAAUAUAUAAUCAGAUUUUUUCGAAAUUAAUAUUCUGAAUUUUAAAAAAAUCUUUAAAAAAAAUCAGAUUUUUUAAUAAUUUUCGAAAUUAUAUAUUCAGAUUUUAAAAAAUUAUAUAAUUUUAUAUUUUUUUCAUAUUUCAAAAAAUUAUAUUUUUUUAAUUUUUUAAAAUUAUUUUCAGAUUUUUAAAUUUUUAAAAAUAAGUCAGGGGUAUUUUUGUCAAUUCCCAUGCCAUUUUGCUAAUUUGAUGACGUGGCAGUGAUUAUCCGGGGAGAGGGACGAACUUUCAAAUGAUUAGUAAUUACAGGGGCAAAAUGGGAGGAUUAGUAAGCUCAUGGAUGAAAAAUCAAACGGCCUAUAAUUGCAGGGAUGAAAAGCAUAUUUUACCCUUUGUUAUAUUAUAGGUGUCAUCGGAAAAUAAAAUUGAAGUUUAUCACAAUAUAAAAAUACAAAAUAUCUAUAAUUUUAAUUUUAAAUACAAUCAAAAUUUCAUAUAACUGUCGUUUGAAUGUCUUAACACAAUAAAAAUAGUGGACAAACUAACAUGAGAUAUCUUUCAAACGAAAGGGAAUAGUAAAAAUCGGAGGCUAUGAAAGUGAAGUAGGAUUAUAUUUGCAAUUGGCUGAAAGCGACAAACUAUUGAAAGAAUACUACUGGUGGUUCAUAACUGCUAUCUCAUCUCAUGGAGAUACAUAGAUCCCAACUAAAUAAAAGAAUUGGCAAGAGAGUACUCUCUCCGAUUUUUAUCAUAAAAAAAAAUAUUGAAAAAACAUCAAAUUCAAUGCAAUCAUUAAUUAAUGUAACUUUUUGAAUAUUUUUAAAAAAGAUGUUAUUGGUCUUUAAUUUGAGGUGGUAUGAGUAUUCUUAUCGUCCUUCGGUAGGAGCGUCAGGUUGUUUAUAAACUGUGCGGGGUUGUUUUUGUUGGAGGUGUAGUCAUCGUACAAUUUUGAGCAUGUUCUGGAUCCCAUGGUAUGUUUCUUACUAAUAAUAUAUAAUUACAAAUUUUAUUUGGCAAAUAUAUAUGAUCCAUGUGAUAAUGUAGAUAAGAAAUUUUUAUUUGACAAGUUAUUUGCAAGUCUUGGUGUAUGGGAGGGGAAGAACUUUUGUGUGUGUGGUGAUUUUAAUGUGGUUCGGUGUAUGGAAGAAAGGAAAUCAAUUAGGGAAGUAGUACAUUAUGAAGACAUUGAUCCUUUUACUAGAUUUAUUGAGGAGAAUUUCUUAGUUGGUCUCCCUCUUGGGGGUCAUGCAUAUACUCGGUAUUAGAGAGACGGUAGAAACAUGAGCCACCUGGAUAGAUUCCUGUUAUCUGGAGCUUGGUGUUUGACUUAGACUAAAUGUUUUCAGAUGGCUCAAAUUAGAGGUUAUCAGAUCAUUAUCCUAUUGUGUUGUUUCGUUGAUGACAAAAUUGGGGGCCCAAACAACCGCAUAUGUUGAAGUGUUGGUUAGAGAUUCCAAGUACUAAGUAGUUUGUUUGUGAUCAGUGGAGGUCUUUUCAGGUUGAUGGUUUGGGUGGUUACGUGCUUAAGGAGAAGUUUAAGUUGAUCAAAUCGGCGCUUAAACUAUAGAAUAAUAAUCAUGUUCAAAAUUUGUCAGGGAGGAUUUCUGCUAUUAAGGAGAGAAUAGCUUUGUUAGAUUGUAAAGGGGAAAUUGAGUUGUUUUCGGAUGCGAGUCUGAGGAGUUACGUGGGCUGAUGGGUGAUUUAUAGUUUUUAUCUCGUAUAAAUACUAGUAUUUGUUGGCAAUAAUCUAGGCUACUUUUGCUAAAAGAAAGAGAUUCGAACUAUAAGUUUUUUCAUGGCAUUACUUCUAGUCAUCAUCGGCAGGGCAAUAAUCUUAAUUCUAUUAUUGUUGAAGGCGCUCGGGUGGAAGGAGUGUCUAAUGUGUGUACUGCAAUUUUUUCUCAUUUUGUGGCUCAUUUUAAGGCGGGUAAUGUUGAUAGACCACUUGUGGAUGAUCUUCAUUUUCAUACUAUAUUGCCUAUGGAUGGAGUGAAUUUGAUUAAGGAUUUUAGUCUAGAGGAAGGGAAAGUUGCAGUCUGGGAUUGUGACAGUUUUAAAAAUUCUGGGCCCGGAUGACAUUAAUUUUAGUUUUAUAAAGGAGUUUUGGCCUGAAUUAAAAGGUGAUCUCAUGAGGUUCAUUUCAGAGUUUCACCGCAAUAUAAGAUUAACGAAAGAUAUUAAAUGUACCUUAUCUUCUCCUUUUUAUCAUCUUUAUUCACUUUGUAUUUUAAUAUCUUGUUAUUGUCUCUCUUCACUCUCACUUGGUAUGUGUAUAUAUGUUUAGAUUAACUAAUUUCUCAAUAACUUAUUAAUUUUUUUUGUUUAUGUGUUUGGUGUGAAAGAAGGACAUCAAGUAUAGAUAGGUUUUUAUUUUUAUUUUUGAAAGAUCAAGUAUAGAUAGGUUGAAACUGAGUAAUCGAGCAAACUUUCGUAUGGUAGCUCAUAUGAAAAAUUAAGCGUUUAAAACAAAUGUAGCAAUAAAAAAAAAAAUUGACUUGAAGUCAUCAAAGAGAUUUUUUUUGACACAUAGUCAUCAAAGAGAUAGAUCUAUCGAGCAAUGAUAUAUAGUGUCACAUGAACAUGUUUUUUAAACUUCACAUUCUAACUUGCAUAUAUUUAUUUUGAUUCCUUACAAAAUGGUUUAUAUCUCCGAUAUGCAAUGUGUAGAUCCCUUGGACGGUUGCAGGAGCAGAACAAUGUUUCAAGUCUAUUUAUAAUAACAAAACAACCCAAACAAAAAUUAUAAGAAAAAAAAUUAUAUAUUCAUAGGGGUCGUAGGCGUAUUUGAAUCUAGGUUUGCAUAUAUACAUUAGGCUUAAAUAUAUUUUUAGUCUUUUAUCUUUUACAACAAAUGUAUUUUGGUUAUUUAUCUUAUUUUGGUCCUUUUUUGUCAAAAAAAAAAAAUAUUUUUUCUCUAUUUUUUAAAAAUUGGUAUCUUUUUAAAAAUUAGAGAAAGUUGAAAACUAUAAAUCCACGUGGCUUCCGGUUUGUCAAUUGUAUUGUAGCAAUCUAAUCUCCUCUAAAGGAGUGCGUCAAAUCCUUUUUUUAAAAGGACGUCUCAAUAAAAUCUCCUUCUAAUAUUUAUGUUCUUGUUUUCGAUUUCAACAAUCUUUUUCACUAUUCCGAACAAACAACAGUGUCUUUCCUUCUUUUUUAUCAAGUAGUAUAGUGACUAAAAUUUAUAUUUUUUAAGGUGAAUGAGUUGAGUGUCUAGAGUUAGAACUCUAACAUCUGCAUAUAAUAAUGUCUGUCUCUGGUAACUAAACUAAUUUCCUUUUCUAAAACCAAAAGCCUAAAAUUUUCCUUAAAGCCUAAACUAUUCACCUUAAAUAUAAAUUUUAGUCAUUCACCUUGAAAAAUAUAAAUUUUAGGCUUUUCUCAUGCCACGUAUUAAAAUUCUGUCACUGAUGUUAUAAUUUAUGAUUAAAAGACUAAAUCCUAAAUCUUUUUAAAAAUAUAAAUAAAUUACCAAAAUAUGAUAAAAUUAAGAUAAAGCAUCAAAAUGUAUUUUUAAUAAAAGAUAAAAGACUGAAAAUAUAUUUAAGUCAACAUGUUAAGGGAGGAAGGGACCAUGGGGACCCUCGACUACCCUCCCUAUGUCCUUUGUCCUUACUGCUCAUGUCACAAUAACAAGUAAAUGAUUUUUAAGAUAUUUUGAAUAUUCAACUGAUGUACUUGUGCUAAAUUAAAUUGCCAGCAACAAACGAUAAUGAGAGUCACCCACUUAGUUCAGUUUUUCUUUUUCAUCAAAUCUAACAAAAUUUAUGCAUUAAAUGUUUCUCUAUUUUCUUCUAUAGGUACAAAUUUGCAGUUAUGAGCAUUUAAUGUUAGCAAAAAUAUAUCCAAAUAGCAUUGCAAUUUUUGAAAAAUAUUAUGAUUCACAUGAUCUACUCAUCCAAACAAUGAUAACAAUUUUUUUUUUAAAACAUUGUUGCCGACUCUAUUAUGAUGUUACUCCCUCCGUUCCUUUAUACAUGUCAUUUUAUAUAAUUUUUUUGUUUCUAAUUAAGUGUCAUUUUCAAAGUUCAAUGUAACAUUAAAUGUUGUUUUUCUUAUAAUGCCCUUAGUAAUUUAUUGCAGAGAGAUAAAUUUAAGAAAUAUAAUAUUAAAUAAUUAAGGAUAUUAUAGGCAAACCAUAAGUUAUUGUAUCAAAAGUAGUGAAAUACAUUUAAUGUUUUGGUUUGUGUAAAAAGUCAAAAUAUGAUAAUUAAAAAGGAACGGAGGGAGUAUGAUUUAGUGAUAAGUAAGUGGCAUGCUUGGCAAUGUCUAAUUUGACACAAUUUUUGGCAUUAAAAUUUAUGAGUUAGACUAACAAAUACUUUUAGGGUACUUGUUAAAGAUUCAAAAAUAAAAAUAAUUGAAUAUACAAUUUUUAAGAUUAUUAAAAUUUCACUUUAAAUUUCUAAGCAAAUGUCAUAAGGACACUUGUUAACAUCUUACAAAAUUCAUUUGUAGUCAAACUAGUACAAAUAACAUUUCCAUCGAAUGAGAAUCAACUCCAAAAUUUCACGGUGAUCGUUGUACUUUAUUUAUACUUUUGUACUCCAACAACUUUUCUAUAUUUAUAUAUAAUUAAAAUGAAUUUUGAUUGUUAUACAUUUAAAAAAAAUUAUUCUAAACUAUCUAAAUAGUAUAAAUUGAUAAGAAUCAAACAAGCAUGUAUUCAAACAUAAAUCAAGUUACUUUCAACUCAAUUUUAAUCAAAAAUCAAUUCUACAAAACUCAAUUUUCACCCUCACAAAGCUAAACCCACACUUUAAUGACCUAAACCAUAAAGAUACCUUGAAAUAUCUGCUCAAUGCUAUAUGGAAAUAAAAUAACAAACGUAACAAUGAAAAUUGAAAGCCACACAAAUGUUUAGUGUCUCUUGGGCAAGACGAAAAUACCAAAUUAAAUCCUCUCAUUUCUUCUUAUAACUCAAUUUAUAAUAAAUUAUGGAGAAUGUUAACUAUUGUCUCAAAAACAUUGGUUAAACAUCUAAAAUAAUAAGUUUUCAUAAAAAAGUUGUGUAAACAUUAUUUGAUCAAAAGUAACAUCUUAUAUUUUCAAAACAAAAUUUCUAUUUGUAGAUUCAUUAACCAUUAACCGGAAGACACUGGUUAGAAAGACCCAUAAAUUAUUUAUGAGAUGUAAUGCUAACCGUUAAGGAUACUAGAAAAUGAAGUUAUUACUUAAUUAUAUUUUUUUUUUACUUUUUAUGGAUUAAUUUCACAAUUUUAAUUCAAUUAAUACUAUAUAAUUUCCUUCUUUAGUUUCUUUAACUACUUUCUCAAGGACACUGAUUAACAUUUCCUUUAUAAUAAUGAUCGAUGAACUAUACGUGUUGUAACUUUUUAAUUUUUUUUACAAAUAUACCUUUAAUGGAAGUUGUGAAACAUUAAAUACAUUCACUAAUAAUAGAAAUACAAUUAUUAAAUAAGGGGUAGAAAAGUCUUUUAAGCAAUAACUAUGUGACAUUUUCUUUUAAAAAUGACCAAUUUUUUUUUUUUAAAAAAACUUUCUUAUAUUAAGGACCAAAGGGACUAAAUUCAUCCAUUGUAGUCAAUUUAUCUAUAAAUGAGUGUUUUUUGAACAACCAUUUAAUUAAACACUUAUAAAGCAACCAUAAUUUACAAAAAAAAUAUUUACACAAAAACUAAAGCAAUAUAAAAAUGAAAUAAAAAAUAAUGUUAAUAUAUGAAAAAUUUAUCAUAAAAUGAAUAUUCAAAUUUCAUUUCUCUUAUCUAACCAAUCUUCCUUUUCCUUAUAUGAAAGUUACAAAGCCGCCACAAAAGACUUUCCUUCAAUCAUUGUAAGGAUAACUCAUUCAGUACGUGGACAUGGUCCUCGAAUUCAAUCAUGUGGAACCAUCCAUAGGCAUAGCCAUAAAUAUUUAGAGGUUCAUGUUUCCUUCAUCAAUGGCAAUUUUAGCAUAUGAUAAUGAUUGAUGUCUUUAUAGGAGUGUUUUCGAUCAACCCACAAAUCUUGUGCUUAUAGAUACUCUUGUUUAAAGAGUUGUCUAGAACCAAAUAUUUUUAACAAAAUUCAAUAUGGUAAGUUACUAUUAUUAUAAAACUUAUUUAAGUUGGAUUGAGUAUAUAAUGAAAUAAAAUCAUUUGAGAAAAAUUAUUUGUCUCAAAAUACUUUUUUUUUUUGUAGGGAUUUGUCUCACAAUACUUAAAGCCACUAAGUAGUAACCAUUGUUUUUAUCAUGAAUUUAUUUUGUGAUUUUUUAUACAUAAUUUUAUUAAAAUUGAGGUGUUAUAAAUAUUUUUAUGAGGUCUUACAAUAAAAUGACAAAUCAUUUGGAAGGCCUCAAGUUUGAAUCAUAGCUGAACAAUUUUUAAUCAUGCCUUUUCUACUUUAUAAGUGAACUUGGGUCAGUAUUUUUUUUUUCAUAAAGAUAAUAAGAUUGUUACUAGCAUUUAAACUAUUACCCGCAUAUAAAUUACGAAAAAUAGUUUUUAUAGAAUUUUAAUUACAAUUAUAUUGAUCUUGAUUAAAAUUAUAGGUAUAGAUAAUAGAUAUUUUUCAAUUUUAUAUUGUAACAAACUAUAAUUAUCUUUUUCAAUGUUAACAAAAAUAUAAUAAAUUUAUUUUUAUUUUUUUGAAUGAUUUCAACAAAAUAGUAUUUUUAUAAUCAAAUUUGUUUAAGAAUAUAAUUGAAAAGAAAAAAUAUGCAUAAAACGGCUUAUUUUUUUUGACUGGUGCUAGUCACACCCCAAAAAAAACAAGUUACACCCCAGAAUGACUAAUAUACCCCUAAGUUGAACAUAAGUAAACUAAAUUUACAUUAACCUAAAUUGAACAUAAGUAAACUUAAUUUACAUUGAACAUAAGUAAACUUAAUUUACAUUGAACAUAAGUAAACUAAAUUUACAUUAACCUAAAUUGAAUAAGUAAACUGAAUUUACAUACUGAACAUAAGUAAACUUAAUUUACAUUAACCUAGAUUGAGUAAACUGAAUUUACACUAACCUCUUAUAUCUAGAUUGAACGUAAGUAAACUAAAUUUACAUUAACCUAGAUUGAACAUAAGUAAACUAAAUUUACAUUGACAUAAGUAAACUAAAUUUACAUUAACCUAAAUUGAACAUAAGUAAACUGAAUUUACAUUAACCUAGAUUGAACAUAAGUAAACUGAAUUUACAUUAACCUAGAUUGAACAUAAGUAAACUUAAUUUACAUUAACUUAGAUUGAGUAAACUGAGUUUACACUAACCUCUUAUAUACAUGUAAACUGAAUUUACACUAAUCUAGAUUGAACGUAAAGUUAACUAAAUUUACAUUAACCUAGAUUGAACAUAAUAAGUAAACUUAAUUUACAUUGACAUAAGUAAACUAAAUUUACAUUAACCUAAAUUGAACAUAAGUAAACUUAAUUUACACUAACCUAAAUUGAACAUAUCUCAUACCAAAACAAACAAUAAACAAAUAGAAACUCAUUGAAAAUGAAAUUCAUGAAAUUCACUAAUCUUUAUGAAUAUAGUACAAAUCAAUAACAAAGAUGUUGAUUCAAAUAUUGGUUGCACAUCUAUGGUGAUUUGUGGAUGAAAGGGGGUAAGGGUUCAGAAUGAUCAUAAAAGAUGGAUUUUUAAAAAUUUACAUGAAAAGGACAAUUUUGGUAUUAUUGUAAAAAUUUAAAUAAAUUUAGGUGUAACUAAUUUUUUUUGGGGUGUGACUAGCACCAGUCAUUUUUUUUUAUAGAUAUAGAGUAACACUUGUUUUGCAAAAUAAUAUAGUACACAUUCUCCAUAAUUAUAAACAUAAUUUCUUCUUAAAGAUAAUUUCUUGUUUUGCAAAAUAAUUUCCUGUUGGUAAAAAAAAAAUAAACAUAAUUUAUUUUUAAGAUUCAUUGAAUAACUGUUUUUUUUAAAAAAACUUUAUUAGAUGAUUAUUGUAUCUGAUCUAUAUAAAUAAAAUACAUUGAUUAUUUAAUCAAUAUGAAAAAAAAAAAAAAAAUUAACUUAUAAUAUUGACGGGAUGAGAAUUUUCAGUUGAUUUUAUUGAUUGAUGCUAUCUAUAUUUAGACCAGAGAAGGGUCUAGUUGUUGCCCCGGCAACUAAUAGACCACUCAUAUGUGAUAACAGGGAAGUGAGAAGAAUUCACAAAAUACUACACGUGUCCUUUGGUGUCCCCAGUCAAUUAAUUCUUCCACAUUGACACUUUGACAAUAUUGAGGCAUUAAAAGCAAUGGAUUUUUCCUUAAAAAAAAUGUAGGGUUAAUUAAAUUUUGACUAAAGUGCAUUUUUCCACCCCUAACUUUAAAAAACUUACAAUUUUGACCUCUUAAGUACAAAAACUAUAAUUUUGGCCCCCUAAGAUUUAACCCCUUUGCAACUUUGAUCAUUUUUGUCAAUUUUGACCGGUCAAUGCCUAUAUGGCAUGCCACGGAUGUAAUUAAUGAAUUAAAAAUUAAAAAAACCAUAUAAUCAUUUUUUAAAUCAAAUUAAUGAAAAAUGAAAUUAAAAAAAAAAAAAUAGGAUAAAAAUUAAAAAUAAAAUUCAAAUCCCUCAAUCUUUUAUUUCUUCUUCUUCAUCAUCUCUUCCUCUCAAAACACCCACUGUCACUCUCCUCCGACCACCAUCGGCGGUGACACCUCCUCCUUCUUAUUCAACAAUGCCUCUAUCGCAGCCGUCAUCCAACUUCUUUUUGUGGUGUUUCUUUUUUCUACCCAAUUUGGUUUCUUCUGUUGGUUUUUUAUUUUACCUGCUUUUAAACUUUUGUUUGUUUUUGUAUCUUUUGUAAGAAAAAUUAAAUUUCCAUAACUCUUAUUAAUUAUCUUAAAUACAAAAGAUGAAAAAAUGAGAGAAGAGAACAAUGAAACAUGUAGCACCGCUAGCUAUGUAAGAAUAGUAAUGUCGGGAAUUGUUGGUGAAAAAGUUUGUGUGUGGAAUUGGAAAUAUAACAGUAGAUUUGGAUGUGUUCCAGCCUCUAUCAUCACAGCCGCUUACCUCCACUACAUCAGCCACCAUCUCCAACUUGAGAAUCUUCUUCACUCAUGUUUCAAGGUCUUUUUUCAUUUAUUAAUUCAUGAGCUUAAUUUCACUACAACUUACAAAACGUUUGAUCAGUUAUAUAGUAUAUAUCUUCAUGAAAAUGGACUAGAACAAAAAGAACAAGAAAGUGAAGAGUUUGUAGAUGAUAUGUGUUGGUGAUGAGGAUGAAUGGUGAUAAUGAAUAUUAGAAGAUGAUGGAUGGUGGUACUUGUGAUGGGGGAAGAUGAUAUGUGCCUCUCCUUCUUCAUCUGCUUGUAUUUUUAUUUUAUUUUUCCUGAUUUUUUUAAUUUUUUAAUUUUAUUUUUCAUUUAUUUAAUUUAAAAAAUGAUUAUAUGAUUUUUUAAUUUUUUUAAUUUAUUAAUUACACACGUGGCAUGCCACGUAGGCAUUGACCGGUCAAAAUUGACAAAAAGGAUCAAAGUUGCAAAGGGACUAAAUCUUAGGGGACCAAAAUUGUAGUUUUUGUACUUAGGGGGUCAAAAUUGCAAGUUUUUAAAAGUUAGGGGGGAAAAAGUGCACUUCAGCCUUAAAUUUUUUAUCCUAUAAAUAGCUGCAGUUUUGUUUUUAGUCCUUAUAAAAAUAAAUUACAUUUUUUAGUCCCUAUUUUUCGUUAGCGCUUUUAGUUCCUAUAAAAUUUUUUGUCAGCAUUUUUAGACCCUAUCAAAAAUUUCCAUCAACAUUUUUGGUCUCUAAAAUGCUUAGGGAAAAUUUCACAGGGACUAAAAAGUGUGAUUUUAUUUUAUAGGAACUAAAAUCAAAACCGUGAAUAUUUAUAGGGGUUAAGAACUUAAUUAACCCAAAAAUGUAAUCGAUUUUUAUGAUUGAAAUCAAUGUUCACGGGACACUCUUUAAGCAUUUUUAAUAAAGAAAUUAUUCUUUAAAAAAGUUCAAGACUUCAAUUUUCAAUGCAAUAAAUGUACAAAACUUUCGUAAAAUCUUACCACUUUGAGUGCUUAACUAGUCUGUCAGGGACACUCGUUAACAUUACCCUUAAAAUUAACAUUGCUUUGAUUAUUUUAGUUCAAUUUGAAGAAACAUGGUAAAUACACAUAGAUAUCAGAGGUUCGAAGCUUGUAUAAUAAAAAUAGGGAAAUGUUAACAAAUGCCCUUGGUUAAUAAGGGUCUUGCUAACAAGUGCUAUAAGAACAUUGUUUAAGGAACCCACAAAAAGAAAUUAUGUAUUGAAAAUACAAAUCAAACAUAUGUUAAAGUCAUAACUGUACACUUUCCAGUGCAAUUGUAUGUCGUUUUGGAAAAAAAAUUUGUCCCAAAUUGUAUGUCGUUUUACAAUACCAAUGAAGCAUUAAUGUUAUUUUUUCUAUUAUAUCCUUAAUUAUUUACUACUUUCUCUUCUUCCAAGUCAUUCAUUUAUCUUUCCCAUAUCAUUUACUAAGGACAAUUUUGUAAAACAAUUCAUAAUAUUCAUUUUUCACACAAAAUUAAUUACAUUUCUUAAUAUGUGUGAAAUGCUCAAAACGUCAUACAAUUUGGGACGGAGGGAGUAUAAUAAUACAGAUUUAAAUAUUCCAAAUAAGUUUACUUAUGAAAAUUAUUAGUAGAAAUAUAGAAGAUAAAAUUAUCAUUGAUACAUAAAUAUAUUUAUCUUGUUUUGGCACUUUUAGUCUCUAUUGUGACUAAAUAAAGAGUUAUGUUAACAAUGAAAAAUUGUCAAGAUAAGAUUCGUAAAAGUAUAUUUUACUUUUUCUAUAUAUCUGUCCCCCUCAUAAAAUUUUGACUUGCUUUGCCACUCUUAUGGCUCUUCGUUAAUAAGAAUAGUAGCAACCUAAUUUGAAAUUAUAUUAUAAAGAUUGUGUGAAGCAUAAGAUAGAAAUGUUCGUGCAAGAGUAUGAGUGCUACAAUUUGUUUGAUGCCUAGUCAACACAACUUUGUACCUGUUGUGAUUCAUGAGAAUAAUUUUACAAUCUUGGAAGAUCAUACCGUACUUUGAGUGAUUUAAUUUAUUUUUGUUAUUAUCAUCAACCACCAUUUUGCAGCGUUUCUAAUACCAUGAAGUGAUGCUCUAACGAGUUCAACCAUUCAAGUUCACACAACAAACUCCAACAUUUCAAAGGACAAGCAUACAUGUUUCUUGCUUUUUCUCCCAGAGUUCAAGAUUGUGUUUCAUGCUUAUUCUCGCAAAGUUCAAGAUUGUGUUUCUUCUAUAAGCUCCAAGCAGACAUGGCAAAGUUCACUAAUUAAUUUUGACUCAUCUGUUUCCAUAAUCUAGCAACACAUCAUUGAAGCCUGCGGUAUCUUCCAUUAAUCCUUCCAACGAAGGACACAAGUUCAAUUUUCGCCAACAAAUUAACACCAUCAACAUAAGAACAAAUGUCAAUUAUAUUCAGUGUAGGAUUGACAAACCACGCUAUUUGACUGACAUUCAAUACACUUGCUAGUUAGCCUCUGUCAAUCAGGUAGUUAAUCCCUCCCAAGUAUUAGUGUGUAAUUCAAACCUUAAUCAUGUUUGUUUGUUAGUUAGGGUUAGUUACUUGUCUCUCAAGUAACUAACUGAUUUACCUAUAUUUUAGCUAGUUAGUUACUUUCUGUUUGUUACUUGAUACACAAGUAACAGUGAACAUCUUUGUAUAUAUAUAGUGUAUCCCAUUAUGAAUAAACAAUGCAAUUUUUCACAAUUCAUUAAUUCUCUUAAUUUUUCAAUCUAUUAUUCUCUCUAUCACCAAACUGUUUCUUCUAAUCCAAGUCAUCAACACAGAAACCCUAACAAAAACUGUUAUCCCCUAACACCAAGAGGCCACAUAAAAUGUUUAACCUUCGGAGGGAUGGGAAGUGACCACAUCUUGUUCCAAUCUCUUUCCCGUUUCUAAUUAAUCAUCCCUAUUUAUGAUAAUGUCAACACAAACUCAAUAAGCACUUUUGACUAAAUAUAGACCUUUUCUUGACGAAUCUUCAUAUUAUUGCAUCCUUUCUUGCAAGAUUAGUUCACGGAAUGUUGAGAACUUCAUGUACAUCUAUCUCACUAAAUAAAUUCCAAAGAAGGUUAGUAUUCAAACUUCUAGAGUUUGUAUCAAUAGGUGUACUAAAUUUGUAUGUAGCUAAAAAAUUGGUACAUACAGUAGAUAUAUAUAACAUAACCCUCCCUUCGACAAUAUUCUUUUUUUUUUGCUAAGCAGUGAGAAAGACAAACAUCAGGAGGUAACACCGACGUCCCAAUUAGGUUGACAUCCUGGAAAACCACCGUCCUCUGUCCGCUAAACUCUAAAAAUUUAUUAAUAAAGAGAAAAAAUAUAUACAAGAAGAGGGGAGACUAGACCAAAACCCUAAAAAAAAAAACAAAAAUAUAGGAUUAUGUUGACAUUGUUGAGAAGACCAAAUUCUACAUCAAACAAAGAUAGGAUUAUGUCCUAAAAGACACUCCCAAAAAAUCCCUAUUAAACAGGUAUAUAGCUUUGAAAAGAGUGUAAUAUUUUUUCAAUCAUCUUUUCUGCAAAGGAAUGAUGUAAUAGAAAUACACUAAUACAAUAAGAAGGGAUAGCUUGAGCAACUGAUUUAAUGAACUCUCCUUUCCUGUUCGAGAGAGCUUCUUACUAUUCCAACAAGAAUUAAGCUUCCACAACCGAUUCUUAAUGUAGUUAAAGAUCGAUUUUUCGCUUCUACCUAUCAUAGAUUGGAGCCCAAGAUAUUUUCCGGAGCCCAUGCACUUUGGCACUUGUAAAAUAUUAGAGAGCGUGGAGGAAUAUUUCUACUAAAGAAAAUCUCAUAUUUUUACUUCUUAAUCAUUUGCCCAUAAGUAUUUGCAUAUCUAUCUAAGAUUCCUUUUAGUAUAUGUGUUUCAAUUUCAUUGGCUCUAAAAAAUAAGUUGCCAUUUGCCCAAAAAAAAACAUGACAAAUAGUAGGAACUCAUCAUAUUACCUUCACUCCACGGACCAUUCCUUUUUGCAUUUUUAUUAGUGUCGCCAUUCCUUCCGAACACAUAAUAAAAAGAAAAUACGAUAAAAACUCACCCUAUCUUGACCCUCUUUCUAAGUAAGCUAGUAGAGUUUCAAGUUAGAAAUUACAUUCCAUUGAAUAAUAUAUUUAGGAUUAAGAUUUUUGUGAAUAAUAUUCCUACUCGUAUGUAUGUUUGAUAAAAAUUUAGAGUUUGUUCAGAUGGUUGUAAAUUUUUGGUUUUUAUUAUUGAAAAUCCAUUUCAAAGCCGAAACUUGAUUGUGCAAAAUUAGAUUCAUUUUGUAGCCAAUUAUUUUUUGGAAAAUAUGGUUACUAUGAAGGAUGAAUCCUCAAAAACAAAGAAUGAGACCAACCUCUACCAUGAUUUCCACCAAAUCCAUAGUUGUUGGAGUAGUCGAGUGUCCAUUCUUAAGAAAUUGUAUUCAAGCUUGACCAGGUUUUUAUUAUGGGUGAUCAAACAAACACAAAAGCAUAAAGGGACAUGAUUUCAAUCAAAUUAUGUAAAAAGUUCUGUCCAUUUUUACGGAGUUUAAGUUAUGAUCAAGAAAAAAAAGGUUGACGGAAGAAGCCAACAAUUACAAAUCGUAUCGUGUAGAGGAUGAAUAGGGUAGAGCCUAGCCGUUUUUUUGAAUUUAUUUUAAAUAAUAAUUCAAUUAAAUUGAUUUGAUAUGACAUGGAGAAAACAAGAAUUAUAAUUGGAUGACACUCUAAAGUGAUUUUAGAGUGUCAAUGCAUAUCCAUUUUUCCCUAGUAACAGACACUAUGUCAAGUUCGAUUUUCACUUUCAUAUUUCUAAUUUUAAUACUCACUUAACUUAAUAACAACGGAAAUUUAGAAUAUUUACAAGAACAAAACAAAUUUAACCCAAAAUUUUAUAUAACACACCUUUUUUUUUAUAUUGGUUGAAAUUUCACAAACCACAGAAUAUUGUGUGGGAUAUAUAUGGAUUUUAAUUUAGAUUAGCGUAGUCAAAUUUAAUUUUGUAAAUUUGUCCAAAAAAAAAAUUAAUUUUUUCGUAAAUACUCAAAUUAAUUUAAUGUCUGAAUAUUGAAAUAUACCGUUAAUCAUUUAUAUUAAUGAAAAACAUUUAUUUUAUUUGUAUGUUUUUUUAUUGGACCGAUGUGGAAGAGACUUGUUCUAAAAUUUGCUCAUUGUUCGAUUUAUGAUUAGAGUCGUAUAUAUUGUAUCCAGUGUUAUCUUUCAUGUGUUUAUAAUGCAUGUGCUGAAAAAAUUUAAUAACAAUUCAUGGUGGCUCUAAGAACUCGCGCCUAGCUUCCCCAUGAAGUCUGUUGAGCCAUCCACCUUCCUCAAAGUAUAGGUUUAGUCAUAUACAAGGUUUUAAAAAAUGGGCUGUUAUCGGGAAAAAUUCCGUGACAAUAAGGUAUAGGUAGCCGAUGUUAUCGUUUUUUACCGUUUUUAUAGAGUGAACAAAAAUCACAACGAAACGUCGUUUCAACUGCGAUGAAACACCAUUGCGGCCGCAAGAAAUGUCGUUUAUGACAAUUGUCAUAGAAUAUGGAUAUUUUUUCAAUUAAGAUAGAUGAAAAUCAUAUUUUUAGUACAUAUUUAAUCAUAAUGUUGGUUCCUCAUCUAGUUUAGAACUCAAAAUCUAUCUCUAGUUUAUGUUAUUUACUUUACUAUCAUCAUUUAAGAAUUUUGCAAUGUUAUGAUUAAUUCACACCGUGACAACCGUAAUCCGUAGUGCAACAUCCGUAACAGUUGAAAUCGCAAAAUCCUAUACGCGAUCGCGAUCGCGUCCGUUAUUUAAAACAUUGGUCAUAUAUAUGUUUAUUGUUUCUAUUUUAUAUAUAGAUAUAUGAUUAUAAUUUUAUAAGGUUAGGGCAUAAAUUAAGGAACAAAAAGUAGAAGUUUCUCCUUGAAAAUUGAGCAUUCAAUCUCUUGAAAGUUUCAAAAGUUAUUUUAUCAACAAAAAAAUUUAGGGUCAUGUUAACUUGUGCCCUAAGGGCACAAAUAGGGUACAAGUUAAUAAACUAAAAAUGGAAUAAAAAGACAACUUUAGCAUUGAAAAUAUAAAUUUUCAAACUUUUAAUACAAUGAAUGUACAAUUCCCAAGAAAAAGUUUCUAUGUUUAAUUUUCAAAUUUUUAAUACAAUGAAUGUAUAAUUUCCCAAAAAUUUAUUACUUAAUUCUAUUUUAAGUUCCUUAACUUAUGCCCUAACAUGACCCAAUUUAUAAAAGUUUUAUAUUUUAUAUAAGCAUAUUUUUGUUGGGUUACUGGAGGAGCCGAGGGACCGUCCACAUCGAGGCUAGAACAACCACACAAGCAAGAGAGACACCACACUCUUAUCCAAAACCUAAAGGUAAUGUGUUUAUUGGUCCUCUUACUUAUAAGGUGUUCAACCUUUACUCUUUUAUCCGAUGUGGGACAUAUAACUCACACUUGCAAACAACAACAAUUUUUAGAAAUUUUAGUGAAUUUUAUCUAAAAAAUAACAAUAUGUUACAAAUAUGUAUUAAGAAGUUUUAUGUUAUGAAUUUUACUCCCUCAAAAAAAAAAAUGUUAUGAACUUUAUAAUCGGUCAAUUUUCUUAAAAACCAAAUUAAAGUAAUAACAACAAUGAUAUAAUACACAUUCACCACUUCUUGCAAAAGCUCAUCCCCAUCACAGAUACAUAGAUUGAUGCAAAUUUAUACAUGAUUUUCACUCCUGGAAUAUCUUUACUAUAUAGUGACAAGAUAGAUGACAGCAACUGAGAUUGAUGUCUAUCUAUGCAUGCCAUUUUUUAUCAACUCACAAACAUUAUUUAUUCAUGAAAUUUAUUAUUAAGAAAGAGUGCAUCAUAACAUGAUCAUAGCAUUAUGAUCAAUUCUGAGUUUUGUCCUCAGCUUGCACGGCAACAAAUUCAGCAUGUGAGCAGCAAUGGCCAUGGCAAUAGUAAUGGCAACCACCUCCACCAUGGUGAGAACCACCUCCACCGUGAGAACCACCUCCAUAGUAAUGUCCACCACCAUUGUGGUAAUUACCACCACCAUUGUGAUAACCACCACCACCAUAUUUGGCAUCAUUUACUUCAUUAGUCUUUUCCUCAGUUUGGACGGCAACAAAUUCAGCAUAUGAGCAGCAAUGGCCAUGGCAAUAGUAAUGACAACCACCUCCACCGUGGUGAGAACCACCUCCACCGUGGUGAGAACCACCUCCAUAGUAAUGGCCACCGCCAUUGUGGUAAUUACCGCCACCACCAUAUUUGGCAUCGUUUACUUCAUUAGUCUUUUCAACAACCUCUGCAAACAUAAUAUAUAUGAACGAUUACAUUUUAUAUACAUAUAAGAAUGAUCAAAUCACAUCGCUGUAAUGUUUGAAUAUUUUUACAAUGCUCAAAAACUUCUUAUUUGAUACUUAUUUUAUAAAGCUAAACAGUUAAAUGUAUA